Molecule: non-coding RNA, 100 nt
Organism: Chelonoidis abingdonii (Abingdon island giant tortoise)
Lineage: Eukaryota; Metazoa; Chordata; Testudines; Testudinidae
Source: RefSeq, a predicted model, not a curated record
AAUGGGUGGGGUUGUUGCAGGUGCACCCCCUAGAAUGGCAUGCAGCUCACCAUUUCUGCGGGAUUCCUGGGGCUCUGACUCGGAACAGCUGUUUGGCUCU